GAGUCUCCAUCCAGCUGGAUCUCUGUCACAGAGAAACCCACCACUACAAGUCCUGCUUCAACCACCUCUCCUCCUGGUUCCUCGUCUUCUCAUCUCUCUGUGUUCUGGUCUGCUGUUCAAUCUCUCGUGUUCUGGUUCUACUGGUGAGACGAUGCCUCCACAGGAAACCUAAAGCUGCUGAAGAAGAAGCUGGGGAUGAUGACAUCACAGACCUACAUCAGCCAAUCAGACGCAGCAGAGGUAACAAUGUUUUAUUGAUUCUGGUUUUCAGGGACAGUGAGU
Micropterus salmoides (largemouth bass) is the source of this 282-nucleotide long non-coding RNA. RefSeq lists it as uncharacterized. The record is from RefSeq and is a predicted model, not a curated record. The transcript has 3 exons. NCBI's taxonomy places the organism in Eukaryota, Metazoa, Chordata, Actinopteri, Centrarchiformes, Centrarchidae.